This is a non-coding RNA of Oncorhynchus keta (chum salmon), 1308 nucleotides long. Lineage: Eukaryota; Metazoa; Chordata; Actinopteri; Salmoniformes; Salmonidae. The record is from the annotation of a RefSeq genome assembly.
AUAUACUGGGACAGCCAUUUCCAGGGACAGGGCCCUAAACUACUAGCCAGGUUAUGAGACAGAGUUCCCAGCUGGAUUACUGAGCUAUGAGACAGAGUUCCCAGCUGGAUUACUGAGCUAUGAGACAGAGUUCCCAGCUGGAUUACUGAGCUAUGAGACAGAGUUCCCAGCUGGAUUAGUGAGCUAUGAGACAGAGUUCCCAGUUGGAUCAUUGAGCUAUGAGACAGAGUUCCCAGCUGGAUUAGUGAGCUAUGAGACAGAGUUCCCAGCUGGAUCACUGAGCUAUGAGACAGAGUUCCCAGCUGAAUCACUGAGCUAUGAGACAGAGUUUAAGUCUGUAUUCAAGGUGUGGAGCCCAGAGAGCCAGGAGUGCAGUAGUCUCUGACAGUACACAGGAUGCAGAGAAGGGACCAGGCAGUGUAUCUGUUUGCUGCCAGUCAACCAGUGAAGCAGGUUUACUGCAACUCUGUGACACAAUCACAUUUUGGGAGGCUGCCAAGGAGGCAUUAUCUGGCACCUGACUGAUCUGGCCCUCUAUGUGAAGAUACUGUAGGCAAGAUGUCUAUCUGACAGGGGGAGGAACAGUCUGGCAGGAUGUCUAUCUGACAGGGGGAGGCACAGUCUGGCAGGAUGUCUAUCUGACAGGGGGAGGAACAGCCUAGCAGGAUGUCUAUCUGACAGGGGGAGGAAUAGCCUGGCAGGAUGUCUAUCUGACAGGAUGAGGAACAGCCUGGCAGGAUGUCUAUCUGACAGGGGGAGGAACAGCCUAGCAAGAUGUCUAUCCGACAGGGGGAGGCACAGCCCAGACAUUAUAACAGUUUUCAAGAGGAUGUGGUGAUGAAUUCAUCUCUCUCUCUCUACCCUGCUGUAGAAGGCAGCUGGUACUUUCAGUACAGUGUAGAAAGAUGUCUCCGACAACAUGUUGUCUAGGCCUUUUCUUCAUCUUAUUUCCAUGUCAUGUAAAGUGUGUUGUGUUUCGUCAGUCUCCGUCCCUGACAGUGAAGGACGGGCGCGAAGCAGAGAUCCACUGUAGCCAUGAUGACAGUAACCUGUUGGUGAUGCUGUGGUACCAACAGAGACAGGCCAGUAUGACUCUGAUCGGGUACAGUUACGGCACCACUGAGCCUAACUACGAGGGUUUGUUUGAGGAGAGGUUCAGGCAGAAGAGAGAGGGAAACCUGAAGGGAACUCUCGUCAUCUCCAAACUAACAUUAGCAGACUCUGCUGUGUACUUCUGCGCAGCCAGUCGCACAGUGAUGUGGCUUUACGUCAGCCUCUCACCAAAAACCUGACACACACACACAGGAA